Ruditapes philippinarum (Manila clam) is the source of this 1071-nucleotide long non-coding RNA. RefSeq lists it as uncharacterized. The transcript has 3 exons. Lineage: Eukaryota; Metazoa; Mollusca; Bivalvia; Venerida; Veneridae. The record is from RefSeq and is a predicted model, not a curated record.
UAAAAAAUAAAAUAUAUUUUAAGCUUUAAAUAUGCAUAGUAGAGUAGACACUUUUUUCUAUCUCUUUUCGUUUAAUUUCUUCUGCUAUGUUCCUUUCUAUGUAAUUUGAUAAUAAAAAAAAUUCCUGCUUACACUUACUUCUUUACUUGAUGUAUUUGCUGAUUUAUUGUUACACAUAGUUUUCAGAGGAAACUUAAACUCUUGCAGAUCAAAUGAAUGAUAAUAAAAAGUUUUCAAUAAUUUAAGGUUUAAGUAACAUAGUCUUUAGAUUAACUAUGGUAUUUGCAGAAAAUUUCAUAUUUAGGAUUUAAUAUAAUAACAUCAAAAUUUGUUCAUUUAGAAGUGACAUUUCAAUCUAAAUUGUUUUAAGUCUCAUAAUAAUGCAAUUUUUAAGUGCAACAUCACAUAAGGCUGUAGAACUUUUGACAUUUCUGUGAAUAUAAACAAAAUUAUACAAGUGAUGAGUUAUCAUAUGUUUUGAUGUUAAUUCAAUGCUUAUAAUACAAAAGAGCAACAACAACAAAAACAAACAAUUAAAGCUGGAUGUUAACAGAAAAGACAGUCUAUUGAGAUGUAAUGUCAUAAAGCAACACUCUCUCUUAAUUGGAAUGAAAUAAUUGAACAUGAUCAGUCCAAUAUAACUAUAAACUAGCCUGGGGAUAAAAAUGCUGUUUCAAACACUAGUUCAAAUUAAUGAUGGGGGGGGGGGGUGUUCAGGGGGGGUAGCACAUAACAGCUUUUACUGUAAAACUAACACAUCCAGUUCAUACCAGAAAUGCUAAAAAUUCCAAUUUUAAAAUGCAAGAUGUAAAGAUUUAUAUGUAUCUAUUCAACUAACAAAAUGAUUUUAGUUUCUUCCAUUUUUUGCUCCUAUGGUGGUAAAGUAUCUGCUUUUUUGUGUGUGCAUGAAUCAUAGUGCUAUAACAACCUACCUGUGGAGGACAAUCCAAAACCUAGUCAGUGGCAGAAUGCAAUACCUGAUAUAAAAGUUCAUGAUAAGGGACAUCCGAAAGAUGGUACCAUGCAUGUGGUUGAAGUUGAGUACCAAUGUAAAGAAUGUUCAGAUGAUGG